Odocoileus virginianus texanus is the source of this 1169-nucleotide non-coding RNA. The record is from RefSeq and is a predicted model, not a curated record. NCBI's taxonomy places the organism in Eukaryota, Metazoa, Chordata, Mammalia, Artiodactyla, Cervidae.
CUUGAUGAUCUGGGCACUAUUUGAUUUAUGUGAGCUUGUAACUGCCCUUGCUUUGACUGGAGAGGGCUGCGUGGGAAGUUUGUCUCUAAGAUAAAGAUGAAGCAUUGCUCUGCAGAGUGUCUAUAGCCUAAGUUUAUGCAGAGCGCCCCCUCUUUCCACUCUUUGAUAAAUAGGGAAUCGGCUCAGUUGCCACAGUUAGAAAGUUAAAGUCAAUGCUAAAUCUAUCUGUAUUCAUUCUGUCAGGAAAAGAACAAUCUCUAGUAGUAUCACUGAACUCAUCUACUAGUGAAAAAAUGAAAAUUGGCCAGAGAAUGGCCAGUACUUAUGUCGCUGCAUCUAAUGGAUAUUCUUUGGCUGAACCAGUGCAGCACUAUGGGCCAGGAAGAACACUGUGUAAUUUGUGGUGAUAAAACAUCAGGAUAUCAUUACAAUGCACUUACUUGUGAAGUUUGCAAAGGAAUGCUUUUCUUGAAAACAAAUAGGAGAUCGGCAAGUGAAGAUAAUCACUGACGAUGGCAUUUUCAAAGAAUUCAGAAACACAUGGAAUGAACUCAAGAGGAACAUCAGCUCAUUGACAACAUUGUGGCCACUCAUCAAAAAUAUACAACUCCUUUAGAAGUAACAGAAAGAUUUGUAUGUGUUCAUUAAUGACAAGAAAUAAUUUGUAAUUAAUUAUGUUAGAAAAUAACAGCAUAAUCAUAAAAGUUUAAAAUUUAAAGUUAUUUGAAAGAAAGAAAUUACAAGUUUUAUUUUUUUGUUGGUUAGCUGCAGGGAUAUGCAAAUCCUGAACUGAUCUUUCUGCAACUCUCAGGGAUAGUCUUACAUAAAAAGAGGUUAGUGGAUUUCACCAAGGGACUUCCAGAUAUCACACUGCCUUUGGAAAAAAUUUAAGUAAUUUAAUAUGUAAUUUUUAAAAAGUUCCUUGUUUUAAAGGAAGGUUGAAUUUUAAGAAGACAAAACCCUCUAGUUUUCUACCAAAACUACCUCUAAAUGAAAAACACAUUGACUUUGUUUGGUUUAAUCAAUCAGGUGGAUGAAAAUAUAAAUAUUUAAAAAUAUUAUUCAAGUGACUUCAAAGACUUAGGGUUAAGACAAACUAAGGUUGUAUGUUUUAUUUUAUUUUUGGAAAUAAAUUGUUUUGGUUUUUAGAUAAAACAAACAGAAUUCCU